This is a long non-coding RNA of Aquila chrysaetos chrysaetos, 1476 nucleotides long. RefSeq lists it as uncharacterized. The record is from RefSeq and is a predicted model, not a curated record. The transcript is spliced from 2 exons. NCBI's taxonomy places the organism in Eukaryota, Metazoa, Chordata, Aves, Accipitriformes, Accipitridae.
UCAAAUUUUGUUUGGGGAGUAAUGGAACCUAACGCACAAAUAUGACGUUAUUUUCUUGCAUCAGCCUGGUGGUCCAGGAAGGUAUAUAAAACCAUUCAUGAUUCAGAAACCUUCCAGCAGGUUCUCUUGACUUCUCCUCGGUGAACUGAGUCUACAGCACAGCUCAGAGAUGUCCUGCGAGAAAACUCUGUGCACUGAGCCAUGCUCUGUCCCGUGUGAUGUGAAAUGCCCCGAGCCCCGUGCCGCUGCCUGCAAUGAGCCCUGUGUCAUCACCUGCCCAGAUUCCCGCGUGAUUAUAUUCCCACCUCCUGUGGUUGUGACCUUCCCAGGACCCAUCCUCACCACCUACCCGCAGGAAACUAUUGUGGGCUCCACGGAGUCAGCCGAGCUGGCUGGCUCCUUAGAGUCGGCCGUGGGGAUUGCUUCGGCGCAGAAGGGUGCUGAGUGCGUAGAGCCUUGCAUCGAUCGGUGUGCCCCGCAGUUUGCGACAAAGUGCGAGCCCCAGUGUGUUCCUCAGUGUGCUGCCCAGUGUGCUCCCCCGUGCGCUCCCCAGUGCGCUCCCCCUUGCGCUCCCCAGUGUGUGCCAGAGUGCUCCUAUACCUAUUCCACCCACUGGAAGCAUCCUUGCCAGAGGGGCUUCUGUAAGAAGAUCUAAUCAGCUUAAAACAAAGAAUAGUCACGGGAAAAGAGCAAGCAAAGAUGUGAAAGAAUAUGGCAUGUGAUCUAGAGGCAUGGCUACCGGAGAGGGAAGCACCCCUGAAAACCAGGACCCUACAUUUAUUUCCUAUAUAGCGCUUUAGCUUAGAUUAAUGCUUUCUUUAUUCUUGUGGCUUUGCAUCUUAUGUCUGUGCUUUUAACUUUCUCUACCCAGUUUGACAUUGACCAUGGUUUUAAAACAAAGCACACAUAGGGAUUUGAAUGUCAGACUCAGCAAGAGUGAGGAAAGUGAGCAUGUUGAUGAAAUGUGUCACACUGGAAUAGGUAAUUGGUUUUAGCUUUUCUUAUCUCUAGAAAUAUGCUCUUUCUAGUCUGCAUUAUUCUUUCUGCAAAUGUUUACUCCACUUUGCAUCUACAUUAAAAUGCUGCUGCAUCAAACCAUCGGCCUUCUGAAUCUUCUUUUUCCUCUGCUACUUAUUUGCAAUACUCUCUUGGUGACACUCAGCCUUGUAUAGAGGAACAGAAGAUGGCCUGGAGACUCUUCCUAGACCACUCAAAACAUCAUGCUCAGGUAAAAUUAAGGAUUUGGUUCUGCUCUGCAGGCCCCUGUGUGAAAACGCCACAUUUUAUGUCAGUUGUAAAAUCCAGGUUGCAGUCUGGAAACCAGUGAGCAGAAGCCCCAUUCACAGAAACAUGGUUCUGCAUUUUCUAGGUAUAUGCCUCUAGAUUAUGGCAAAAUGUAUAUUUUUAGAGUAUCCUGUUCUAACUCAUAACCAGUCCUAUUUGGAGGCCUUCUUUUCUAUAAACAAACUGAACUGA